RNAcentral lists this transfer RNA (73 nucleotides) under Ailuropoda melanoleuca (giant panda). It matches the Rfam family "tRNA". From Rfam's summary of the family: Transfer RNA (tRNA) molecules are approximately 80 nucleotides in length. Their secondary structure includes four short double-helical elements and three loops (D, anti-codon, and T loops). The record is from Rfam by way of RNAcentral. RNAcentral also lists the same sequence under 1 other name. Lineage: Eukaryota; Metazoa; Chordata; Mammalia; Carnivora; Ursidae.
GCCUGGCUGGCUCAGUCGGUAGAACACGGGACUCUUGAUCUUGGGGUUGUAAGUUCAAGCCCCACGUUAGGUG